This 574-nucleotide ribosomal RNA is filed under the name uncultured bacterium. RNAcentral describes it as "bacterial SSU rRNA". It matches the Rfam family "Bacterial small subunit ribosomal RNA", at positions 51 to 611 of the family's 1533-position model. The record is from RNAcentral.
ACACAUGCAAGUCGAGGGGCAGCAUGGUCUUAGCUUGCUAAGGCUGAUGGCGACCGGCGCACGGGUGAGUAACACGUAUCCAACCUGCCGUCUACUCUUGGCCAGCCUUCUGAAAGGAAGAUUAAUCCAGGAUGGGAUCAUGAGUUCACAUGUCCGCAUGAUUAAAGGUAUUUUCCGGUAGACGAUGGGGAUGCGUUCCAUUAGAUAGUAGGCGGGGUAACGGCCCACCUAGUCAACGAUGGAUAGGGGUUCUGAGAGGAAGGUCCCCCACAUUGGAACUGAGACACGGUCCAAACUCCUACGGGAGGCAGCAGUGAGGAAUAUUGGUCAAUGGGCGAUGGCCUGAACCAGCCAAGUAGCGUGAAGGAUGACUGCCCUAUGGGUUGUAAACUUCUUUUAUAAAGGAAUAAAGUCGGGUAUGCAUACCCGUUUGCAUGUACUUUAUGAAUAAGGAUCGGCUAACUCCGUGCCAGCAGCCGCGGUAAUACGGAGGAUCCGAGCGUUAUCCGGAUUAUAUUGGGUUUAAAGGGAGCGUAGAUGGAUGUUUAAGUCAGUUGUGAAAGUUUGCGGCUCA